GACGAACGCUGGCGGCGUGCCUAAUACAUGCAAGUUGAGCGCUGAAGGUUGGUACCUGUACCAACUGGAUGAGCAGCGAACGGGUGAGUAACGCGUGGGGAAUCUGCCUUUGAGCGGGGGACAACAUUUGGAAACGAAUGCUAAUACCGCAUAAAAACUUUAAACACAAGUUUUAAGUUUGAAAGAUGCAAUUGCAUCACUCAAAGAUGAUCCCGCGUUGUAUUAGCUAGUUGGUGAGGUAAAGGCUCACCAAGGCGAUGAUACAUAGCCGACCUGAGAGGGUGAUCGGCCACAUUGGGACUGAGACACGGCCCAACCUCCUACGGGAGGCAGCAGUGGGGAAUCUUCGGCAAUGGACGAAAGUCUGACCGAGCAACGCCGCGUGAGUGAAGAAGGUUUUCGGAUCGUAAAACUCUGUUGGUAGAGAAGAACGUUGGUGAGAGUGGAAAGCUCAUCAAGUGACGGUAACUACCCAGAAAGGGACGGCUAACUACGUG
This 497-nucleotide ribosomal RNA is filed under the name uncultured bacterium. RNAcentral's name for it is "partial 16S ribosomal RNA". It matches the Rfam family "Bacterial small subunit ribosomal RNA", at positions 28 to 507 of the family's 1533-position model. The record is from RNAcentral.